GGUGCGCCGAUGUGUGGCGAAGAGGGAACCCGGUGGGAAUCCGGGACUGUCCCGCAGCGGUGAGCAGGAACGAACGCCGCCACGAGCACUGGAUGCCCGCGCAUCCGGGAAGCGACGGCCAGUAGGUCGGCCCGACCGGGCCGGUGCCCGCGAGUCCGAAGACCUGCC
This 168-nucleotide non-coding RNA is filed under the name Nocardia nova. The record is from RNAcentral. Lineage: Bacteria; Bacillati; Actinomycetota; Actinomycetes; Mycobacteriales; Nocardiaceae.